AUUCCAGCUCCAAUAGCGUAUAUCAAAGUUGUUGCAGUUAAAAAGCUCGUAGUUGGAUUUCUGGUGGGAGCGAUCGGUCUGGCGCUUAGCGCGAGUACUUGCAUCGUCUCCGGCCAUCCUUGGGGAGAGUUUGUCUGGCAUUAAGUUGUCGGGCAGAGGAUCCUCAUCGUUUACUGUGAAAAAAUUAGAGUGUUCCAAGCAGGCUCUCGUCGUGCAUAGCUCAGCAUGGAAUAAUAGCAUUGGACUUCGUUUCUACGCUGUUGGUUGCAAGAAGCGAGGUAAUGAUGAAGAGGGAUAGUUGGGGGCAUUCGUAUUUAACUGUCAGAGGUGAAAUUCUUGGAUUUGUUAAAGACGAACUACUGCGAAAGCAUUUACCAAGGAUGUUUUCAUCA
Molecule: ribosomal RNA, 392 nt
Filed under: Arcocellulus sp.
Lineage: Eukaryota; Bacillariophyta; Thalassiosirophyceae; Cymatosirales; Cymatosiraceae
Description: partial small subunit ribosomal RNA
Rfam family: Eukaryotic small subunit ribosomal RNA
Source: RNAcentral